AAAUUGAAGAGUUUGAUCAUGGCUCAGAUUGAACGCUGGCGGCAGGCCUAACACAUGCAAGUCGAACGGUAACAGGAAGCAGCUUGCUGCUUUGCUGACGAGUGGCGGACGGGUGAGUAAUGUCUGGGAAACUGCCUGAUGGAGGGGGAUAACUACUGGAAACGGUAGCUAAUACCGCAUAACGUCGCAAGACCAAAGAGGGGGACCUUCGGGCCUCUUGCCAUCGGAUGUGCCCAGAUGGGAUUAGCUAGUAGGUGGGGUAACGGCUCACCUAGGCGACGAUCCCUAGCUGGUCUGAGAGGAUGACCAGCCACACUGGAACUGAGACACGGUCCAGACUCCUACGGGAGGCAGCAGUGGGGAAUAUUGCACAAUGGGCGCAAGCCUGAUGCAGCCAUGCCGCGUGUAUGAAGAAGGCCUUCGGGUUGUAAAGUACUUUCAGCGGGGAGGAAGGG
RNAcentral lists this ribosomal RNA (455 nucleotides) under Escherichia coli. RNAcentral describes it as "bacterial SSU rRNA". It matches the Rfam family "Bacterial small subunit ribosomal RNA", at positions 1 to 452 of the family's 1533-position model. The record is from RNAcentral. Lineage: Bacteria; Pseudomonadati; Pseudomonadota; Gammaproteobacteria; Enterobacterales; Enterobacteriaceae.